RNAcentral lists this ribosomal RNA (589 nucleotides) under uncultured bacterium. RNAcentral describes it as "partial 16S ribosomal RNA". It matches the Rfam family "Bacterial small subunit ribosomal RNA", at positions 355 to 1375 of the family's 1533-position model. The record is from RNAcentral.
UGGGGAAUUUUGGACAAUUGGGCGAAAGCCUGAUCCAGCAAUGCCGCGUGUGUGAAGAAGGCCUUCGGGUUGUAAGCACUUUUGUCCGGAAAGAAAUCCUUGCUCUAGUUAACGCUCGGGGGAUGACGGUACCGGAAGAAUAAGCACCGGCUAACUACGUGCCAGCAGCCGCGGUAAUACGUAGGGUGCAAGCGUUAAUCGGAAUUACUGGGCGUAAAGCGUGCGCAGGCGGUUUUGCUAAGACCGAUGUGAAAUCCCCGGGCUAACCUGGGAACUGCAUUGCGACUGGCAAGGCUAGAGUAUGGCAGAGGGGGGUAGAAUUCCACGUGUAGCAGUGAAAUGCGUAGAGAUGUGGAGGAAUACCGAUGGCGAAGGCAGCCCCCUGGGCCAAUACUGACGCUCAUGCACGAAAAGCGUGGGGAGCAAAACAGGAUUAGAUACCCUGGUAGUCCACGCCCUAAACGAUGUCAACUAGUUGUUGGGGAUUCAUUUCCUUAGUAACGUAGCUAACGCGUGAAGUUGACCGCCUGGGGAGUACGGUCGCAAGAUUAAAACUUCAAAUGAAUUGACGGGGUCAUAGCUGUUUCCU